Molecule: ribosomal RNA, 253 nt
Filed under: uncultured bacterium
Lineage: Bacteria
Description: partial 16S ribosomal RNA
Rfam family: Bacterial small subunit ribosomal RNA
Source: RNAcentral
UACGAAGGGUGCAAGCGUUAAUCGGAAUUACUGGGCGUAAAGCGUGCGUAGGCGGUUGGUUAAGUCUGUCGUGAAAGCCCUGGGCUCAACCUGGGAAUGGCGAUGGAUACUGGCUAGCUAGAGUGUGGUAGAGGAUGGCGGAAUUCCCGGUGUAGCGGUGAAAUGCGUAGAGAUCGGGAGGAACAUCCGUGGCGAAGGCGGCCAUCUGGAUCAACACUGACGCUGAGGCACGAAAGCGUGGGGAGCAAACAGG